RNAcentral lists this ribosomal RNA (440 nucleotides) under uncultured bacterium. RNAcentral describes it as "partial 16S ribosomal RNA". It matches the Rfam family "Bacterial small subunit ribosomal RNA", at positions 338 to 795 of the family's 1533-position model. The record is from RNAcentral.
CCUACGGGUGACUGCAGUGGGGGAUAUUGCACAAUGGGGGAAACCCUGAUGCAGCGACGCCGCGUGUGGGAAGACGGUCCUCUGGAUUGUAAACCACUGUCCCCAGGGACGAAAAUGACGGUACCUGGGGAGGAAGCUCCGGCUAACUACGUGCCAGCAGCCGCGGUAAGACGUAGGGAGCGAGCGUUGUCCGGAAUUACUGGGUGUAAAGGGAGCGUAGGCGGGGAUGCAAGUUGGGUGUCAAAACUACCGGCUCAACUGGUAGUCGCACUCAGAACUGCCGCUCUUGAGUGAGGUAGAGGCAGGCGGAAUGCCUGGUGUAGCGGUGAAAUGCAUAGAUAUUACGAGGAACCCCAGUGGCGAAGGCAGCCUGCUGGGGUCUUACUGACGCUGAGGCUCGAAAGUGUGGGGAGCGAACAGGAUUAGAUACCCGGGUAGUC